UACGUAGGGUGCGAGCGUUAAUCGGAAUUACUGGGCGUAAAGCGUGCGCAGGCGGUUUUGUAAGCCAGAUGUGAAAUCCCCGGGCUUAACCUGGGAAUGGCAUUUGGGACUGCAAGGCUUGAGUGCGGCAGAGGAGACUGGAAUUCCUGGUGUAGCAGUGAAAUGCGUAGAUAUCAGGAGGAACACCGAUGGCGAAGGCGGCCUUCUGGGUCCGCCCUGACGCUGAGGCGCGAAAGCGUGGGGAGCGAACGGG
RNAcentral lists this ribosomal RNA (253 nucleotides) under uncultured bacterium. RNAcentral describes it as "partial 16S ribosomal RNA". It matches the Rfam family "Bacterial small subunit ribosomal RNA", at positions 524 to 776 of the family's 1533-position model. The record is from RNAcentral.